CUGGGCUUGACAUGCACUGGAAACCGGUAGAGAUAUCGGCCCCCUUGUGGCCGGUGUACAGGUGGUGCAUGGCUGUCGUCAGCUCGUGUCGUGAGAUGUUGGGUUAAGUCCCGCAACGAGCGCAACCCUCGUUCCAUGUUGCCAGCGGAUAAUGCCGGGGACUCAUGGGAGACUGCCGGGGUCAACUCGGAGGAAGGUGGGGAUGACGUCAAGUCAUCAUGCCCCUUAUGUCCAGGGCUUCACACAUGCUACAAUGGCCGGUACAAAGGGCUGCUAAGCCGUGAGGUGGAGCGAAUCCCAUAAAGCCGGUCUCAGUUCGGAUCGGGGUCUGCAACUCGACCCCGUGAAGUCGGAGUCGCUAGUAAUCGCAGAUCAGCAACGCUGCGGUGAAUA
This 393-nucleotide ribosomal RNA is filed under the name uncultured bacterium. Its description in RNAcentral is "bacterial SSU rRNA". It matches the Rfam family "Bacterial small subunit ribosomal RNA", at positions 975 to 1368 of the family's 1533-position model. The record is from RNAcentral.